GAUAAACGCUGGCGGCGUGCAUAACACAUGCAAGUCGAACGAUGAAACUUAAAUGAUUUCUUCGGAAUGAACUUAAGUGGAUUAGUGGCGAACGGGUGAGUAACACGUGAGUAACCUGCCUUACACAAGGGGAUAGCCUCUGGAAACGGAGAAUAAUACCCUAUAAAGUCUAAUCAGCCCAUGCUGGAAAGACCAAAGAUUUAUCGGUGUAAGAUGGACUUGCGUCUGAUUAGCUAGUUGGUGAGAUAAAAGCUCACCAAGGCGACGAUCAGUAGCCGGCUUGAGAGAGUGUACGGCCACAUUGGGACUGAGACACGGCCCAAACUCCUACGGGAGGCAGCAGUGGGGAAUUUUGCACAAUGGGGGAAACCCUGAUGCAGCGACGCCGCGUGAUUUAGAAGGCCUUCGGGUUGUAAAAAUCUUUUUUACGGGAUGAAAAUGACAGUACCGUAAGAAUAAGGUCCGGCUAAAUACGUGCCAGCAGCCGCGGUAAUACGUAUGGACCGAGCGUUGUCCGGAAUCAUUGGGCGUAAAGGGUACGUAGGCGGCCUAGUAAGUUAGAAGUUAAAGAAUAUAGCUCAACUAUAUAAAGCUUUUAAAACUGCUAGGCUUGAGAGAUGGAAGGGAAAGUGGAAUUCCUAGUGUAGCGGUGAAAUGCGCAGAUAUUAGGAAGAAUACCGGUGGCGAAGGCGACUUUCUGGUCAUCAUCUGACGCUGAGGUACGAAAGCGUGGGUAGCAAACAGGAUUAGAUACCCUGUAGUCCACGCUGUAAACGAUGAGUGUUAGGUUCUUGGAAUAAUCUGGGAGCCGCAGCUAACGCAUUAAACACUCCGCCUGGGGAGUACGCACGCAAGUGUG
This 859-nucleotide ribosomal RNA is filed under the name uncultured Clostridia bacterium. RNAcentral describes it as "bacterial SSU rRNA". It matches the Rfam family "Bacterial small subunit ribosomal RNA", at positions 28 to 896 of the family's 1533-position model. The record is from RNAcentral. Lineage: Bacteria; Bacillati; Bacillota; Clostridia.